CGGACGCGCAUGAUGAGCGGAGAGCGGUCAACGGAACUCUUGACAGGGCAACGCGCCUGAUAACGUCAGGGGGCUGGCCACGCAGGUUCUGCCGUGAGGCAGAGUCACACGCUGCGGCGUGUGGCGCUGGGUUCAACCCAGCGCGGUGCGGCUCAGCUACGGAAAGUGCCACAGAGAAUAGACCGCCGGCGGAGCGCAGCACGGUGGCAUCGCGCAGGGAGACCUGCGGGACGCCGACGCAACGCACGCAACGUUGGGCAAGGGUGAAAAGGUGGGGUAAGAGCCCACCGCUCCGGUGGCGACACCGGAGGCACGGAAAACCCCGCGUGGUGCAAGGCCAAAUAGGAGGGGAGAGCCGGCCCGGCUCGAUGAGCGAGCGUUUUCUAACGAGAACGCGCUCCAUUCGCUGCGGCGUCAGCCACAGCGAAAUGAAAACCCUCGGGUAGGCUGCUGGAGUCACGGUGCGAACCGUGACCUAGAGGAAUGAUCGCCGCGGCGCGCGGACCGUUUUGCGAACUGCGUGCUGCACAGAAUCCGGCUUACAGGCCCGUCCGCCAU
RNAcentral lists this RNase P RNA (558 nucleotides) under Acidobacteriota bacterium. RNAcentral describes it as "Acidobacteria bacterium RNase P RNA component class A". It matches the Rfam family "Bacterial RNase P class A". Rfam says of the family: Ribonuclease P (RNase P) is a ubiquitous endoribonuclease, found in archaea, bacteria and eukarya as well as chloroplasts and mitochondria. The record is from RNAcentral. Lineage: Bacteria; Pseudomonadati; Acidobacteriota.